RNAcentral lists this transfer-messenger RNA (355 nucleotides) under Clostridium uliginosum. RNAcentral describes it as "Standard tmRNA". It matches the Rfam family "transfer-messenger RNA". Rfam says of the family: Bacterial tmRNA, also known as 10Sa RNA or SsrA, is named for its dual tRNA and mRNA-like properties. Lineage: Bacteria; Bacillati; Bacillota; Clostridia; Eubacteriales; Clostridiaceae. The record is from Rfam by way of RNAcentral.
GGGGGCGUUUUGGCUUCGACGGGGGUAGGAUGGGUUUGUUAAGCGAGUCGAGGGAAGCAUGUGUCCUCGUUAAUCAAGUAUGCAAUAAAUGUAAACGCAGAAGACAAUUUUGCAUUAGCAGCUUAAUAUAAGCUACUCAUCAGCCCGAGUUGCCUACGGCUUGGAUAACUGGUGUCAUUAAGUAGGAAACGAAGUUUAGCAAAGCUUUGAGCUAAAGGGGUAUUUAUGAAGCUACCAAAAGAUGGAGCCUGUCUAUAGGCGCUAUCUCGAGGGAAUUUUAAAUUAUAGACUGCACUCGGAGAAAUUCAGAUUCAGCUAUUUUCGGACAGGGGUUCGAUACCCCUCGCCUCCACCA